AUUGAACGCUGGCGGCAUGCCUUACACAUGCAAGUCGAACGGCAGCAUGGAGAGCUUGCUCUCUGAUGGCGAGUGGCGAACGGGUGAGUAAUGCAUCGGAACGUACCGUGUAAUGGGGGAUAACGUAGCGAAAGUUACGCUAAUACCGCAUACGACCUGAGGGUGAAAGCAGGGGAUCGCAAGACCUUGCGUUAUACGAGCGGCCGAUGUCAGAUUAGCUAGUUGGUGAGGUAAAGGCUCACCAAGGCGACGAUCUGUAGCGGGUCUGAGAGGAUGGUCCGCCACACUGGGACUGAGACACGGCCCAGACUCCUACGGGAGGCAGCAGUGGGGAAUUUUAGACAAUGGGGGCAACCCUGAUCCAGCCAUGCCGCGUGAGUGAAGAAGGCCUUCGGGUUGUAAAGCUCUUUCGGCCGGGAAGAAAUCGCACAGGCUAAUACUCUGUGUGGAUGACGGUACCGGCAUAAGAAGCACCGGCUAACUACGUGCCAGCCGCCGCUGUAA
This 504-nucleotide ribosomal RNA is filed under the name uncultured bacterium. RNAcentral's name for it is "partial 16S ribosomal RNA". It matches the Rfam family "Bacterial small subunit ribosomal RNA", at positions 30 to 523 of the family's 1533-position model. The record is from RNAcentral.